CACGUAGGCGGAUAGGUAAGUCAGAUGUGAAAUCCCGGAGCUCAACUCCGGAACUGCAUUUGAUACUGCCUGUCUUGAGUGAGGUAGAGGGGGUGGAAUUCCCGGUGUAGAGGUGAAAUUCGUAGAUAUCGGGAGGAACACCAGAGGCGAAGGCGACCCCCUGGGCCUCUACUGACGCUGAGGUGCGAAAGCGUGGGGAGCAAACA
Molecule: ribosomal RNA, 206 nt
Filed under: uncultured bacterium
Lineage: Bacteria
Description: partial 16S ribosomal RNA
Rfam family: Bacterial small subunit ribosomal RNA
Source: RNAcentral